UGCGCAGGCGGUUAUGUAAGACAGUUGUGAAAUCCCCGGGCUCAACCUGGGAAUUGCAUCUGUGACUGCAUAGCUAGAGUACGGUAGAGGGGGAUGGAAUUCCGCGUGUAGCAGUGAAAUGCGUAGAUAUGCGGAGGAACACCGAUGGCGAAGGCAAUCCCCUGGACCUGUACUGACGCUCAUGCACGAAAGCGUGGGGAGCAAACAGGAUUAGAUACCCUGGUAGUCCACGCCCUAAACGAUGUCAACUGGUUGUUGGGUGCAUUAGUACUCAGUAACGAAGCUAACGCGUGAAGUUGACCGCCUGGGGAGUACGGCCGCAAGGUUGAA
Molecule: ribosomal RNA, 330 nt
Filed under: uncultured bacterium
Lineage: Bacteria
Also listed under: 1 other name
Description: bacterial SSU rRNA
Rfam family: Bacterial small subunit ribosomal RNA
Source: RNAcentral